UCCACUCUCACUAAACUUCCCUUCCUUUAUUCCCCCAAAAUAGGUCCCUUGACAUCAUCCAGUCCUCUGGUCUCCCCUUCCAUCUGUCAGCUCCUUUCUGACCUCACUCCCUUCCCUACCCAGACUGGAUCUCACAGUCAAGCAUGCGAACCACUCUCUCCCCAGCACCUUCAAUUCUCUGCUGCUUUGUACUCACAACCCACCUACCUAUCAAAGCCCCAGUUCUGGGUCCCUCCAACCACUCAGCUUGCUGUUUCUGAUGUCAUGCUGCUAAGCACAGCUGGAGGAAAUCACACUGCUAAUUAUACUGAUGGAAAUGGUUUCCAGCCUGAGGGUCAAAGUCAGAGGUGCACACCUUGGAUACAAAAUGAAGACAGCCUCUCCCCUCCAUGCUCCUACCUUCCAGAGGCAGCUGGGAACCAUGACACUGUGGUAGCAGCAUGGCUAAUGGAAGCCUAUGACAGUGCAGAGGACGCCCAACAAGAAGCACCUGAGCCUUGUUGGGAGGCUGGUGGAAGAAAUUCACAGCUGAGGCUUCUGAGCUGUGAUUUCUCAUCUCCCUCCAUAUCCCUUUGUCCCAAUGACAUUGCCAUCUUUUCCCCUCCAUUAAGAAAUUGUGGUAAAAUAUGCAUAACACAAAA
RNAcentral lists this long non-coding RNA (641 nucleotides) under Homo sapiens (human). RNAcentral's name for it is "HSALNT0336130". The record is from RNAcentral. Lineage: Eukaryota; Metazoa; Chordata; Mammalia; Primates; Hominidae.